GAAACAGCUGAGUCAUCUAAGUGUAAAGCCCUGACAGAGUUAUCAGUAAGCCUGCAGUACAAGCUCACACACACUCAACAGAAGAAUGUUAAAUCCAAGUAGUCAGAGCAUGAAAUGACUACCUCCUGCACUUUGUUAAUGACACUGUCACCCAAUGCGUUGCCCAGCAACACAUCCGUGAGUGUGUUGAUGUGUGAGCUGGCCGCAGUAAUAUCAGGGACGUGCAGGCCGCAGGAGGGAGAAACAUGCAGGACUGUCGUUAUUUGAAGAGAGAGCCUAUGUCAUUCUGGCCAAGGAAUCACCCAGUCAUGUUUCCACACCUCCAAACCAAUCACUGGAGCAAAAUGAAAACGACAGUGCCAGGAUAUCUCACAUCCUUUCCAGCUGCCUUGUUGAAGGACACAGUGAGUGCAUCACUAGAAUGUAACUCUACUCUUAAUGGCACCACCAGGAGCUUACCACCCCUCACCAACUCUGCUGCUAAUGAUCAUGUUUCCUCUGUGCAGCGAGCACGCUGUACGUACACAUUAGACCGUAAGUCAAACUGUUCAAUCCUGUAUUGUUUGCUAAAUUCACAUUUGUUAUCAGGCUCAACUAAACCUGCCCUCUCACCUCAAAACGUGCCCCAGUACAGAAACGUGUACAACGACAGGGCCAGGAGGGGCUUCUGUUAUUGGCUCGUGGAGAGGAAACAUUCAACAUGUGAGUGCUGAUCCAAGCAGCUAUUACUGCAUAUCAUCACCUAUGGUUCACCUAUGAUUCACCCAUGUAUAGGUUUAUCACAUUCAUGCAGAUGUGACCAGUUUGAUCUCCAGGAAGCAGCAGAUUUUAGGCAGGAAAAUGAGUAAUUUGAACAUUAUUGUGCCCUUGUUUAUCCAAACAAGUGACAUACAUAUAUCUGUCCCUGCAGUAUCCUCACUAUACAUUUAAAAUACGUUUUUAUUUAAUUUGGGACAAUGGUUUGAAUAAUUACAGAAAAAUUUCAAAUUAGGGUUUUUUUUUGUUGUUGUUUUUUUUAAGCAACUUGAGAUUUAAAAAAAAAAAAGACUGCCUUCAUGUGAUAUAAGCACGAGAAAAGAGGAGUUUCAUUGCAUUUGUUUAACUGCAGGGACUGUAUAUCUACAACUGAAUUAGUUGGUCAUUUACAC
RNAcentral lists this long non-coding RNA (1148 nucleotides) under Gouania willdenowi (blunt-snouted clingfish). Its description in RNAcentral is "lncRNA (ENSGWIG00000000734.1)". Lineage: Eukaryota; Metazoa; Chordata; Actinopteri; Blenniiformes; Gobiesocidae. The record is from RNAcentral.